AACGAACGCUGUCGGCAGGCCUAACUCAUUCAAGUUGAGCGCCCUUUCGGGGGGGCGUCGGCUGGGUGUGUAACGCGUGGUAUUAUGCCCUUCUUUACGGCAUAGCCUCGGGAAACUGAGAGUAAUACCGUAUACGCCCUCCGGGGGAAAGGUUUAUCGGGGAAGGAUUAGCCCGCGUUGGAUUAGGUAGUUGGUGGCGUAAUGGCCUACCAUGCCGACAAUCCAUAGCUGGUUUGAGAGGAUGAUCAGCCACACUGGGACUGAGACACGGCCCAUACUCCGACGAGAGGAAGCAGUGGGGAAUCUUAGACAAUGGGGGCAACACUGAUCCAGCAAUGCCGCGUGAGUGAUGAAGGCCAUAGGGUUGUGAAAAUAGUUCAGCUGGGAAGAUAAUGACGGUACAAGCAGAAGAAGCCAGGGCUAACUACGUG
Molecule: ribosomal RNA, 431 nt
Filed under: uncultured bacterium
Lineage: Bacteria
Description: partial 16S ribosomal RNA
Rfam family: Bacterial small subunit ribosomal RNA
Source: RNAcentral